GGGGGUGUAGCUCAGCUGGGAGAGCGCUGCGUUCGCAACGCAGAGGUCAUGGGUUCGAACCCCACCAUCUCCACCA
This 76-nucleotide transfer RNA is filed under the name Clostridiales bacterium. Its description in RNAcentral is "tRNA-Ala". It matches the Rfam family "tRNA". From Rfam's summary of the family: Transfer RNA (tRNA) molecules are approximately 80 nucleotides in length. The record is from RNAcentral. Lineage: Bacteria; Bacillati; Bacillota; Clostridia; Eubacteriales. RNAcentral also lists the same sequence under 1 other name.